Molecule: ribosomal RNA, 253 nt
Filed under: uncultured bacterium
Lineage: Bacteria
Description: partial 16S ribosomal RNA
Rfam family: Bacterial small subunit ribosomal RNA
Source: RNAcentral
CACGGGGGGAGCAAGCGUUGUUCGGAAUCACUGGGCGUAAAGGGCGUCUAGGCGGUCAGAUAAGUGGGAUGUGAAAUGCCCCGGCUCACCCGGGGACCGGCAUCCCAAACUGUCUGGCUUGAGUAUGGGAGAGGAUGUGGGAAUUCCUGGUGUAGCGGUGAAAUGCGUAGAUAUCAGGAGGAACACCGGUGGCGAAGGCGCACAUCUGGCCCAAUACUGACGCUGAAGCGCGAAAGCUAGGGGAGCAAACGGG